This 189-nucleotide ribosomal RNA is filed under the name uncultured bacterium. RNAcentral's name for it is "partial 16S ribosomal RNA". It matches the Rfam family "Bacterial small subunit ribosomal RNA", at positions 338 to 524 of the family's 1533-position model. The record is from RNAcentral.
CCUACGGGAGGCAGCAGUGAGGAAUAUUGGUCAAUGGGCGAGAGCCUGAACCAGCCAAGUAGCGUGAAGGAUGACUGCCCUAUGGGUUGUAAACUUCUUUUAUAGGGGAAUAAAGUGCCGUACGCGUACGGUUUUGUAUGUACCCUAUGAAUAAGCAUCGGCUAAUUCCGUGCCAGCAGCCGCGGUAAU